UACGGGGGGGGCAAGCGUUGUUCGGAAUUACUGGGCGUAAAGGGCUCGUAGGCGGCCAACUAAGUCAGACGUGAAAUCCCUCGGCUUAACCGGGGAACUGCGUCUGAUACUGGAUGGCUUGAGAUUGGGAGAGGGAUGCGGAAUUCCAGGUGUAGCGGUGAAAUGCGCAGAUAUCAGGAGGAACACCAAUGGCGAAGGCAGCACUCUGGGACGUGACUGACGCUGAGACGCGAAAGCGUGGGGAGCAAACAGG
This 253-nucleotide ribosomal RNA is filed under the name uncultured bacterium. RNAcentral's name for it is "partial 16S ribosomal RNA". It matches the Rfam family "Bacterial small subunit ribosomal RNA", at positions 524 to 776 of the family's 1533-position model. The record is from RNAcentral.